CCUACGGGAGGCAGCAGUGGGGAAUAUUGGGCAAUGGGCGCAAGCCUGACCCAGCAACGCCGCGUGAAGGAAGAAGGCUUUCGGGUUGUAAACUUCUUUUCUCAGGGACGAAGAAAGUGACGGUACCUGAGGAAUAAGCUACGGCUAACUACGUGCCAGCAGCCGCGGUAAAACGUAGGCGGCAAGCGUUAGCCGGAUUUACUGGGUGUAAGGGGCGUGUAGGCGGGACUGCAAGUCAGAUGUGAAAACCACGGGCUCAACCUGUGACCUGCAUUUGAAACUGUAGUUCUUGAGUACUGGAGAGGCAGACGGAAUGCGUAGUGUAGCGGUGAAAUGCGUAGAUAUUAGGAGGAACACCAGUGGCGAAGGCAGUCUGCUGGACAGCAACUGACGCUGAGGCGCGAAAGCGUGGGUAGCAAACAGGAUUAGAUACCCGGGUAGUC
This 443-nucleotide ribosomal RNA is filed under the name uncultured bacterium. RNAcentral's name for it is "partial 16S ribosomal RNA". It matches the Rfam family "Bacterial small subunit ribosomal RNA", at positions 338 to 795 of the family's 1533-position model. The record is from RNAcentral.